UUAUCCAUUCGUCUCCACCUCCACCGCUCUCGUUCUAUUCUAUCUUUCCAUCUCUCCGCUCUCACAUCCCUGCCGAGCACCCGUUGCUUCCAGCCGGCCUGACGAGUGGCGACUGUUGACGAGCUAUCACUGGAAACCCUGGCGACUACCCCACAGGCCGCUUCCCCCGGUAGUGCGCCGCUACCAGCAACCCCAUCUCCAGCUCCUCCCCCUCGCCGUCAUCGGAGUCCGGAGGCCACCACCAUGCGAAGCCUCCGUCGUGGCGGUGGCGCCGGGCGGGGCUUCUCGUCGCCUCCCGGCUGGCCCGUGCGUGCGCCCCCUCGUGGCGGUCAGCUCAGCGCUCCGUACGUGCGUCGGUGCGUCUCUUUGUGGCAGAUCCGGGGCGGCUGUGCUCCCAUGGCCAAACCCGUGACUCCUGCGCGGCGCCUUGCCCCUCCGCUUCCUUCAAAGGAGGCCCGGUGCGGCGCAUCCUCGAUCUACAUCAUCCGGCUCCACCCACCCUCCCUCCUCGACCUCCCGGUGACAGUGGCUCGGCCCGGCCAUCCUAGAUGCCACAUCCCCACGCGUGUGCCCGGCCGUCGGAUCUGGUGAAAGCAAGGAUCGGCCCCUAUAGGCGAAUCGGAAGAGAAGAGAGCGGGUCGUCGCCUGCAACCGCCGCUCAUGGACGCCCGUGUUGUUCAUCAGGUAAAUCGGGAAAGAACACGGCGAGGUGAAUCAGGCAGGUGGCGGCGGCGGAAGGAGCCUCCCGUCGAGCCGCCCGCCUCCGGAUACGCCUCCCCAGCCCCUGCCGCGCAUGAAUCCGGCCCUUGCAAUCUCCAGCCGCCGCCUUCGCUCGAGCCACCGCGCCGCCCCCAGCCGCUCGAGCCACCGCGUUGACCCGAUCCAGAAGCUGGGCUUGAGCGGCGGCGCGACGGCGGGUCGAGUUCCGGCGGAUUCCGGCGGGGCGACGACGGGGCGGAGUUCGGCGGCGCGCGGCGGCGUUGCAGGGCGUGGCGGCGCUGGAGGUGGAUGAGAUUGGGGUUCAUGGGUCGUUCGUGUGGCUAGGUUUUUUUUUUCUUUCCAGGGGGACCGCGGGUUGAAUUCUUAAAACGGCAGGGUUCUUUUUGUAAUAACGAAACGUUUUCUGAGAUAGCAACUUAAAAAGGGACUGCGGGUUGAAUUCUUGAAAAUAGAGGGGCUUUUUUGCAAAAGUGACGACGACGUACGACCAGAAGCACUCCUUGCUUUAUUAGUAGGGAAAGAAAUAAAGGUAGAGAGUAGAGAUUAAGGUAUAAAGAUAAAGAUAAUAAAUUAAUUAGUUAGAUAAAGAUAAAGAUAAAGAUAAAUAUAGAUGUGAAAUAAAAUAAAUAAAAUAAACGCGGGCCUGGCCAAGGCGUGCGUUUAGCCACGUGCCGUGCCGGGUAUGCAUCACGCCAGGCACGGCCCUAGCCACAAAUCGAACCCUAACUAAGAAAUCUCAUCCCCCCAUCCCAGCCGCCACACCGCCCACAGCGCAGGCACAGGCGAGCAAGAGAAGGCAACGGCGCGACGGCACGACAACGGGGCGGCCGCAAGAGCAGCGGAUCAGCGCGCGGGGAGCGGCGGCGACUCUGCGCGUGGGCGGUGGCUCGCGAAGAGCAUCAAUGCACAGAUCUCGGUGAACGUUGAGCAUUCUGUCGUCGAAGAUGGUGCACGUCGAGCUCGACCUUGCGGACGAGUGGUCCGAGUCCGACGUCUCGGAAGAUGUCUCCGACUCCGAAGUGGGCGACGGCCUGGACUGGCUCGACACCGUCGAGAGCCAUGAUGGUUCAGCCCGGCUAUCCGCCGCCUUCUCGACCGUCGGAGGCGCGGCAGCGGCGCGGAGGCCGAAUGCGCACGGCGGCGUGCUCUCCCGCCCCUUUCAGCCGCUCUCCAAUCGCACGCAGAAGCUCGCCUCCCACAUCCGGGCCACGCCCUUGGAGGAGUGGGAAGGUAGAAUGAACGUGGGGAUGUCAAAUUCGGUAACGACUGCAAUCAGGGACAGCAUAAGGGACACAUCAAUUGGCAAAAUAAGGAACCAUGAGAAGGCCGAUCGUGCUACGGUGGAACAGGCCAUUGACCCAAGAACACGCAUGGUUUUGUUCAAGAUGUUGAACAGUGGUGUUUUUAAUAAUAUAAAUGGUUGCAUUUCUACAGGAAAAGAGGCAAAUGUCUAUCAUGCAACAAAGAUAGAUGGCCAGGAGCUAGCAAUCAAAGUCUAUAAAACCUCUGUCCUUGUCUUUAAGGAUAGAGACAGAUAUGUUCAAGGAGAUUAUCGUUUUAGAUAUGGUUACUGCAAGCAUAAUCCCCGGAAAAUGGUUAAGACCUGGGCUGAAAAGGAAAUGAGAAAUCUUAAACGAGUGGCAGCAGCUAAAAUUCGAUGCCCAGCACCAUUGCUCCUGAAGCUUCAUGUAUUGGUGAUGGAAUUCAUAGGGAAAGGAGGUUGGGCUGCUCCUCGUCUUAAGGAUGCUGCUUUGUCGGUUGACAAGCUGCGUGAAGCUUACUUUGAGAUUGUUACGAUAAUGAGGACACUUUAUCAAAAGUGCAAGCUGGUCCAUGGCGAUUUGAGUGUAUAACAUUCUUUAUUUUAAGGGCCACUUAUAUAUCAUUGAUGUUUCGCAAUCUGUUGAUGUUGAUCACCCUUUGGCGUUGGACUUAUUAAAGGAAGAUUGUUUGCAUGUUUCUGACUUCUUUCUGAAACGAGGUGUCGCUGUCAUGACAGUAAUGGAUCUAUUUAAUUUUGUGAUUGAUCAAAACAUUGCGGAUGACGAUGUAGAUGAUUACUUAGAAAAGGUUCAGCAGAAGAUGUUGGAGAAUGGAGAUACACUCGCAAAUGAUGAUGACAUAUCUCCAACAGUCAUGGUGCAGACGUUGGAUUAUGUGAAGCAGUGUGAGGCUGAUAUAGUCAACAUGUCAAUGUUGCAACGACCAUCCCUGUGUUACGAGCCACCAGCGGAUAAGCUUUAUAACCAGCCAUUGCUAGGAUUUGUGCGGGCUGAAAAAAACAAGCGUACUGCUGAAAAGCAGAAAAAACAGUUGCCACAUAAUAAGUGCUCAUUGCUAAGUAGUGGAUCUUGCUCUAGUUCUGGUGAAGAUUCGAGGUAUGAGGCUGAUCCCAAGAUGGGACCUGAGGAGAGGAAGGCUGCUCGGAAGGAGGAGAAGAAGAAAGUGAAAGAAGAGAAGAGAGAAGCUCGGAAGACGAAGGAGCCGAAAGCCGAUAAGAAGAGGAGGAAGAAAAUGGCAAAAGCGAAGUGCAAGAGGUAGCAAUCUCUGGUUGAUUUAAUUCUGUGAGAGCCUGUAUGAUUGAGUGUUUAUAACGAGUAAGGACGAUGCUUCCUCAGCGAUAACGCAAACAAAUGUCAUUGGAUUCUCAGUUGUGUUUUUUUUUGUUCAUUCCGCUUUUUAAAUUGCGCAGCCCUGAAGUGCAGUAGUGUCUAGCUACCUUGUAAAUGGUGCCUUGUCAAUUGUCAUCAGAUUUAAAAUUUCCA
Molecule: RNA transcript, 3485 nt
Organism: Triticum aestivum (bread wheat)
Lineage: Eukaryota; Viridiplantae; Streptophyta; Magnoliopsida; Poales; Poaceae
Gene name: serine/threonine-protein kinase RIO1-like
Exons: 12
Source: RefSeq, a predicted model, not a curated record